UCCCGGUAAAACGGGACGGCCCGCCAGAGGACCCCUAAACUCUGUUUCUAUAUGUAACUUCUGAGUAAAACCAUAAAUAAAUCAAAACUUUCAACAACGGAUCUCUUGGUUCUGGCAUCGAUGAAGAACGCAGCAAAAUGCGAUAAGUAAUGUGAAUUGCAGAAUUCAGUGAAUCAUCGAAUCUUUGAACGCACAUUGCGCCCGCCAGUAUUCUGGCGGGCAUGCCUGUUCGAGCGUCAUUUCAACCCUCAAGCACAGCUUGGUGUUGGGACUCGCGUUAAUUCGCGUUCCUCAAAUUGAUUGGCGGUCACGUCGAGCUUCCAUAGCGUAGUAGUAAAACCCUCGUUACUGGUAAUCGUCGCGGCCACGCCGUUAAACCCCAACUUCUGAAUGUUGACCUCGGAUCAG
RNAcentral lists this ribosomal RNA (408 nucleotides) under Fusarium solani. RNAcentral describes it as "eukaryotic LSU rRNA". The stretch from base 86 to 239 matches the Rfam family "5.8S ribosomal RNA". The record is from RNAcentral. Lineage: Eukaryota; Fungi; Ascomycota; Sordariomycetes; Hypocreales; Nectriaceae.